CAAGUGAAGAGUUUGAUCCUGGCUCAGAUUGAACGCUGGCGGCGUGCCUAACACAUGCAAGUCGAGCGGUAACGCGGGAGCAAUCCUGGCGACGAGCGGCGAACGGGUGAGUAAUGCUUCGGAAUCUACCCAGUAGUGGGGAAUAACCAGCCGAAAGGUUGGCUAAUACCGCAUACGUCCUACGGGGGAAAGCAGGGGAUCGCAAGACCUUGCGCUAUUGGAUGAGCCGAAGUCGGAUUAGCUAGUUGGUAGGGUAACGGCCUACCAAGGCGAC
Molecule: ribosomal RNA, 274 nt
Filed under: Acetobacteraceae bacterium
Lineage: Bacteria; Pseudomonadati; Pseudomonadota; Alphaproteobacteria; Acetobacterales; Acetobacteraceae
Description: partial 16S ribosomal RNA
Rfam family: Bacterial small subunit ribosomal RNA
Source: RNAcentral